UAGGGAAUCUUCCGCAAUGGACGCAAGUCUGACGGAGCAAUGCCGCGUGUAUGAAGAAGGUCUCCGGAUCGUAAAGUACUGUUAUCAGCCAAGAACAAUUCACAGAGUAACUGUUGUGGAUCUGACGGUAACUGAUCAGAAAGCAACGCCUAACUACGUGCCAGCAGCCGCGGUAAUACGUAGGUGGCAAGCGUUGUCCGGAUUUAUUGGGCGUAAAGGGAGCGCAGGCGGUGACUUAAGUCUGAUGUGAAAGCCCACGGCUCAACCGUGGAAGGUCAUUGGAAACUGGGUCACUUGAAUGGAGCAGAGGAGAACGGAAUUCCAUGUGUAGCAGUGAAAUGCGUAGAUAUAUGGAGGAACACCAGUGGCGAAGGCGGUUCUCUGGGCUCACAUUGACGCUGAGGCUCGAAAGCGUGGGGAGCGAACAGG
This 429-nucleotide ribosomal RNA is filed under the name uncultured bacterium. RNAcentral's name for it is "bacterial SSU rRNA". It matches the Rfam family "Bacterial small subunit ribosomal RNA", at positions 355 to 776 of the family's 1533-position model. The record is from RNAcentral.